RNAcentral lists this ribosomal RNA (431 nucleotides) under uncultured bacterium. RNAcentral's name for it is "bacterial SSU rRNA". It matches the Rfam family "Bacterial small subunit ribosomal RNA", at positions 42 to 467 of the family's 1533-position model. The record is from RNAcentral.
UCAGGCCUAACACAUGCAAGUCGAGCGGCAGCGGGAAAGUAGCUUGCUACUUUUGCCGGCGAGCGGCGGACGGGUGAGUAAUGCCUGGGAAAUUGCCCAGUCGAGGGGGAUAACAGUUGGAAACGACUGCUAAUACCGCAUACGCCCUACGGGGGAAAGCAGGGGACCUUCGGGCCUUGCGCGAUUGGAUAUGCCCAGGUGGGAUUAGCUAGUUGGUGAGGUAAUGGCUCACCAAGGCGACGAUCCCUAGCUGGUCUGAGAGGAUGAUCAGCCACACUGGAACUGAGACACGGUCCAGACUCCUACGGGAGGCAGCAGUGGGGAAUAUUGCACAAUGGGGGAAACCCUGAUGCAGCCAAGCCGCGUGUGUGAAGAAGGCCUUCGGGUUUAAAGCACAUGAGCGAGGAGGAAAGGUCAGUAGCUAAUAUCUG